GGAGUACGAACGGACUAGCUACAGGCGUUAACACAUGCGAAGUCGCGGGGCGAGCAUGGGGUUGGCUUGCAAUCCCGACUGGCGACCGCGCACGGUGAGUAACGCGUAUCCAACCUGCCCUUCACCACGGGAUAACCCGGCGAAAGCCGGACUAAUACCGUAUGUUGUCCAUUGACGGCAUCCGAUUUGGACGAAAGGUUUGGCGGUGAGGGAUGGGGAUGCGUCCGAUUAGCUUGACGGCGGGGUAACGGCCCACCGUGGCUACGAUCGGUAGGGGUUCUGAGAGGAAGGUCCCCCACACUGGAACUGAGACACGGUCCAGACUCCUACGGGAGGCAGCAGUGAGGAAUAUUGGUCAAUGGGCGUAAGCCUGAACCAGCCAAGUAGCGUGCAGGAUGACGGCCCUAUGGGUUGUAAACUGCUUUUAUGCGGGGAUAAAGUGGCCCACGUGUGGGUUUUUGCAGGUACCGCAUGAAUAAGGACCGGCUAAUUCCAUG
RNAcentral lists this ribosomal RNA (497 nucleotides) under uncultured Prevotella sp. RNAcentral's name for it is "bacterial SSU rRNA". It matches the Rfam family "Bacterial small subunit ribosomal RNA", at positions 36 to 507 of the family's 1533-position model. Lineage: Bacteria; Pseudomonadati; Bacteroidota; Bacteroidia; Bacteroidales; Prevotellaceae. The record is from RNAcentral.